RNAcentral lists this ribosomal RNA (956 nucleotides) under Staphylococcus aureus. RNAcentral's name for it is "partial 23S ribosomal RNA". It matches the Rfam family "Bacterial large subunit ribosomal RNA", at positions 1959 to 2925 of the family's 2925-position model. Lineage: Bacteria; Bacillati; Bacillota; Bacilli; Caryophanales; Staphylococcaceae. The record is from RNAcentral.
GCGAAAUUCCUUGUCGGGUAAGUUCCGACCCGCACGAAAGGCGUAACGAUUUGGGCACUGUCUCAACGAGAGACUCGGUGAAAUCAUAGUACCUGUGAAGAUGCAGGUUACCCGCGACAGGACGGAAAGACCCCGUGGAGCUUUACUGUAGCCUGAUAUUGAAAUUCGGCACAGCUUGUACAGGAUAGGUAGGAGCCUUUGAAACGUGAGCGCUAGCUUACGUGGAGGCGCUGGUGGGAUACUACCCUAGCUGUGUUGGCUUUCUAACCCGCACCACUUAUCGUGGUGGGAGACAGUGUCAGGCGGGCAGUUUGACUGGGGCGGUCGCCUCCUAAAAGGUAACGGAGGCGCUCAAAGGUUCCCUCAGAAUGGUUGGAAAUCAUUCAUAGAGUGUAAAGGCAUAAGGGAGCUUGACUGCGAGACCUACAAGUCGAGCAGGGUCGAAAGACGGACUUAGUGAUCCGGUGGUUCCGCAUGGAAGGGCCAUCGCUCAACGGAUAAAAGCUACCCCGGGGAUAACAGGCUUAUCUCCCCCAAGAGUUCACAUCGACGGGGAGGUUUGGCACCUCGAUGUCGGCUCAUCGCAUCCUGGGGCUGUAGUCGGUCCCAAGGGUUGGGCUGUUCGCCCAUUAAAGCGGUACGCGAGCUGGGUUCAGAACGUCGUGAGACAGUUCGGUCCCUAUCCGUCGUGGGCGUAGGAAAUUUGAGAGGAGCUGUCCUUAGUACGAGAGGACCGGGAUGGACAUACCUCUGGUGUACCAGUUGUCGUGCCAACGGCAUAGCUGGGUAGCUAUGUGUGGACGGGAUAAGUGCUGAAAGCAUCUAAGCAUGAAGCCCCCCUCAAGAUGAGAUUUCCCAACUUCGGUUAUAAGAUCCCUCAAAGAUGAUGAGGUUAAUAGGUUCGAGGUGGAAGCAUGGUGACAUGUGGAGCUGACGAAUACUAAUCGAUCGAAGAC